Molecule: long non-coding RNA, 406 nt
Organism: Dermacentor silvarum
Lineage: Eukaryota; Metazoa; Arthropoda; Arachnida; Ixodida; Ixodidae
Exons: 3
Source: RefSeq, a predicted model, not a curated record
GAUCGUCAUGUAAUUUCACAACACUAUACCCUUGUGAGAGCUCUACAGUGCAGAUUCGUAACGAUUCUGAGGUGCUUGUGCGCUACGGGGACGAAAGUUGUUAGCGCCGUUCGUCCCUAGCCGAGCUGGCAGCACAGAAUCGACAGAAUGCGUACCGGCAAGGCGAAGAAGCCGUGUCCGAGGUGUCCAUGCUCCUGCAGUCCUGUGGCGACCCUGUGGAGCUGGAUCCGGUCUCGUGGAAACACAGCCGGCUCAUCAGUCACAAAACGAGUGGGCUGCUGCUGAGGUACCCCAGCUGGAGUCGAGAGGUGAGAAGAUGUGGCACGACGGGACAGGAACAUAAGCCUGGAGGGAAAGCCGCGAGCAAAGCCGUGGUCGGUGCUCUGGUGGACGGCCUGCAGAUGAA